RNAcentral lists this ribosomal RNA (497 nucleotides) under uncultured bacterium. RNAcentral describes it as "partial 16S ribosomal RNA". It matches the Rfam family "Bacterial small subunit ribosomal RNA", at positions 28 to 507 of the family's 1533-position model. The record is from RNAcentral.
GAUGAACGCUGGCGGCGUGCCUAAUACAUGCAAGUCGAGCGAACAGACGAGGAGCUUGCUCCUCUGAUGUUAGCGGCGGACGGGUGAGUAACACGUGGAUAACCUACCUAUAAGACUGGGAUAACUUCGGGAAACCGGAGCUAAUACCGGAUAAUAUAUUGAACCGCAUGGUUCAAUAGUGAAAGACGGUCUUGCUGUCACUUAUAGAUGGAUCCGCGCUGCAUUAGCUAGUUGGUAAGGUAACGGCUUACCAAGGCAACGAUGCGUAGCCGACCUGAGAGGGUGAUCGGCCACACUGGAACUGAGACACGGUCCAGACUCCUACGGGAGGCAGCAGUAGGGAAUCUUCCGCAAUGGGCGAAAGCCUGACGGAGCAACGCCGCGUGAGUGAUGAAGGUCUUCGGAUCGUAAAACUCUGUUAUUAGGGAAGAACAAAUGUGUAAGUAACUGUGCACGUCUUGACGGUACCUAAUCAGAAAGCCACGGCUAACUACGUG